GAUGAACGCUAGCGGCAGGCUUAACACAUGCAAGUCGAGGGGCAGCAUGAAGGUUAGCAAUAACCUUUGAUGGCGACCGGCGCAAGGGUGCGUAACGCGUGAGCAACUUGCCCGUUUCUGGGGAAUAACCGGUGGAAACGCCGACUAAUACCCCAUAGCAUCAGAAUGAGGCAUCUCAAUCUGAUUAAAGAAAUUCGGAAACGGAUAGGCUCGCGUGACAUUAGCUAGAUGGCGGGGUAACGGCCCACCAUGGCUACGAUGUCUAGGGGUUCUGAGAGGAAGGUCCCCCACACUGGAACUGAGAUACGGUCCAGACUCCUACGGGAGGCAGCAGUGGGGAAUAUUGGGCAAUGGGCGCAAGCCUGACCCAGCGACGCCGCGUGAGUGAAGAAGGUCUUCGGAUUGUAAACUUCUUUUAUGAGGGACGAUAGUGACGGUACCUCAUGAAUAAGCCACGGCUAACUACGUG
Molecule: ribosomal RNA, 469 nt
Filed under: uncultured bacterium
Lineage: Bacteria
Description: bacterial SSU rRNA
Rfam family: Bacterial small subunit ribosomal RNA
Source: RNAcentral